RNAcentral lists this ribosomal RNA (449 nucleotides) under uncultured bacterium. RNAcentral describes it as "partial 16S ribosomal RNA". It matches the Rfam family "Bacterial small subunit ribosomal RNA", at positions 29 to 523 of the family's 1533-position model. The record is from RNAcentral.
AACGAACGCUGGCGGCAUGCCUAACACAUGCAAGUCGAACGAGAUCUUCGGGUCUAGUGGCGCACGGGUGCGUAACGCGUGGGAAUCUGCCCUUUGGUUCGGAUUAACAGUUGGAAACGACUGCUAACACCGGAUGAUGACGAAAGUCCAAAGAUUUAUCGCCAGAGGAUGAGCCCGCGUAGGAUUAGCUAGUUGGUGUGGUAAAGGCGCACCAAGGCGACGAUCCUUAGCUGGUCUGAGAGGAUGAUCAGCCACACUGGGACUGAGACACGGCCCAGACUCCUACGGGAGGCAGCAGUGGGGAAUAUUGGACAAUGGGCGAAAGCCUGAUCCAGCAAUGCCGCGUGAGUGAUGAAGGCCUUAGGGUUGUAAAGCUCUUUUACCCGGGAUGAUAAUGACAGUACCGGGAGAAUAAGCUCCGGCUAACUCCGUGCCAGCCGCCGCAGUAA